AUCCAGUCCGCGUCUGUAUCUACAACUGUGUUGUUGCUGGAGGACAUAAACUGUGAAAUCCUUCCUCUCACUUUCUGGCAGCUCCUCCGCUCUGUGGGAUCGUGCUGCAGCCUCCUCAUGCGCCUUUUUCUUUUUCCCUCAAAGUUUCCCUUCUGAUACCGAGAGUGCUUCUUUAAUGCUCUUCAACCUUUUACUCAGUGUUCGCUGUGCGCCUGCUCUGCUCGAUUACAGUGUGUGCGUGCGCGCGUGUGUGUGUGUGUGUGUGUGAGCGUGCUGGUUUGCCUCAUGCUGAGCUGUACUUGAAAGUCCUUCUCUCCGUCUCUCUCUGCAGAUUGUUCAGUCACCUUGGAGGCUUGUCGGCAGGUCACCGCCGACCUUCACAGCAGUCUGAGGAAAACGGUCUUGAUGUACACCACGGUAGUGGAGAGCGACCAGCAGGCCGGUGAAGAUCAGCAGGCGAUGAGGAGCAUCCUGUCUGAGGCUCUUCUGACGGUGAAGUCGGAGCUGGACUCUCUGCCUCACCCCACCUCAAAGAGUGAGCGUCUCCUCGUGGACCAGCGGGGGAGGAUCGAGGGAGACAAGACGAUGGCUCUGCUGGAGCAGUACGCCGAGCUGCUGCUCAAGUCCGUGGAGAAGAGGCUGGAUACCAAGACCUGAAGGGACGCUCCACCCAGAUAACAGGAGGAGACAUGUAGACACACACUGUGAACUGAACUGUUGUUAUAUGCACCUACAUUUUUUUUAAAAACCAUCUUUAUGAACUGGAAGCCGAUGAGAUCUAAGUGUAUACAGAGAAAACAAAUUCAAUAAUGUUGAGCACUGUGCACUGAACAAAGAACCGGUUAAAAAGUUGCCUUGUUUUUAAAUUGCCAUUGACAUUUGACAUAAGAAUAAACUCAUCAGAAUGUAGCCUAUAUGUGCAGACAGCUCACAGGUUUGGUAGGAAUAAAGAAAAAGUGCAGUUUAUGUGGCUGGGAAGAGGAAGUCCAGUUGAUAUGUGAGGAGAGAGAUGAUAUAUCGGAUGAAAGAUAAGUGUUACGUGAAAGAUUUGGAAAAAAAACAUUCUUGCCACUAAUGUUAACAUUUCUUCUGUGAGCCAAAAGCAGAUAAUUUUGUAGUUAUGACUACACGAUACAUCAUUCAUACGUAUGUGCUGCUUCAUGUUUCUUCUGUGUUAAUAUAAAUGUUUAAUUUGUAUUUUCUAUUUGUGUGAAAUGUUCCUUCUGUUUGCUAC
This 1234-nucleotide long non-coding RNA is filed under the name Salarias fasciatus (jewelled blenny). RNAcentral describes it as "lncRNA (ENSSFAG00005010970.1)". The record is from RNAcentral. Lineage: Eukaryota; Metazoa; Chordata; Actinopteri; Blenniiformes; Blenniidae.